Molecule: ribosomal RNA, 1975 nt
Filed under: human gut metagenome
Description: bacterial LSU rRNA
Rfam family: Bacterial large subunit ribosomal RNA
Source: RNAcentral
GAUAGCUGGUUCUCCCCGAAAUAGCUUUAGGGCUAGCCUCAGGGAAAAGAUUGCAGGCGGUAGAGCACUGAUCAGGAGAGGGACCUACCCGGUUACCAAACCCAGUCAAACUCCGAAUGGCUGUAAUCAUACCUGGGAGUCAGACUGCGACUAAUAAGGGCCGUAGUCAAAAGGGAAACAGCCCAGACCAUCAGCUAAGGUCCCCAAUGCCGUGCUAAGUGGCGAAGGAUGUGGCAUUUCAUAAACAACCAGGAUGUUGGCUCAGAAGCAGCCACCAUUUAAAGAGUGCGUAAUAGCUCACUGGUCGAGAGACGCUGCGCCGAAAAUGUCCGGGGCUCAAGCACGGAACCGAAGCUAUGGCAUGAUAGCAAUAUCAUGGGUAGGGGAGCGUUCUUAUAAGGAAGAAGCAUGACCGGAAGGACAUGUGGACAAAUAAGAAGUGAGAAUGCCGGUAUGAGUAUCGAAAAGAAAGGUGAGAAUCCUUUCCACCGAAAGCCCGAGGGUUCCUGAGCAACGAUCGUCGACUCAGGGUAAGUCGGGACCUAAGCCGAGGCGAGAAGCGUAGGCGAUGGACAACAGGUUGAAAUUCCUGUACCGGAUCAAGUCGAUUGAGCGAAGGAGCGACGCAGGAGGGCACAUGAUCGCGCGGCUGGAAGAGCGCGUCCAAGUGCGUAUGUUGCAGCAGAGGAAAACCCCUGCAGCUAAAAGCAGAGACAUGAUGGGGAGUUAAAGGAAACUUUGACGAACUCAUGGAUCCCACACUGCCAAGAAAAACUUCUAGCGAGACAAGAUCCGCCCGUACCGUAAACCGACACAGGUAGGCGGGGAGAGAAUCCUAAGGUGCGCGGGAAAACCCUCGUUAAGGAACUCGGCAAAUUGCAUCCGUAACCUAGGGAGAAGGAUGGCCCCCGGUCAGUGAAGAGCAGAAACGCUCAGAGCUAAAAGGGGCGGCAGAAAAGAGGCCCAAGCAACUGUUUACCAAAAACACAGGUGCCUGCGAAAGCGAAAGCUGAAGUAUAGGUGCUGACGCCUGCCCGGUGCCGGAAGGUUAAGGAGAGAAGUUAGCGAAAGCGAAGCAUCGAACUGAAGCCCCGGUGAACGGCGGCCGUAACUAUAACGGUCCUAAGGUAGCGAAAUUCCUUGUCGGGUAAGUUCCGACCCGCAUGAAAGGCGUAAUGAUUUGGGCACUGUCUCAACGAGGGGCCCGGUGAAAUUGAAAUACCUGUGAAGAUGCAGGUUACCCGCGACUGGACAGAAAGACCCCAUGGAGCUUCACUGCAGCUUGAGAUUGAAUCCCGGUGACAGAUGCACAGGAUAGGUGGGAGGCGCCGAAGCAUUGCCCUAGGGCGGUGCGGAGCCGAUGUUGGGAUACCACCCUUCUGUUGCUGAGAUUCUAACGCGAGGAGUAACGACCCUGCGGACCCUCUCAGGCAGGCGGUUUGACUGGGGCGGUCGCCUCCGAAAGAGUAACGGAGGCGCCCAAAGGUUCCCUCAGGCCGGACAGAAACCGGCCGAAGAGUGCAAAGGCAGAAGGGAGCUUGACUGCGAGACCAACAAGUCGAGCAGAGACGAAAGUCGGGCUUAGUGAUCCGGUGGUACUGAGUGGAAAGGCCAUCGCUCAACGGAUAAAAGCUACCCUGGGGAUAACAGGCUAAUCUCUCCCAAGAGUUCAUAUCGACGGGGAGGUUUGGCACCUCGAUGUCGGCUCAUCACAUCCUGGGGCUGGAGUAGGUCCCAAGGGUUGGGCUGUUCGCCCAUUAAAGUGGUACGCGAGCUGGGUUCAAAACGUCGUGAGACAGUUUGGUUCAUAUCCAUCGCGGGCGCAAGAAGUUUGAGAGGAGCUGCUCCUAGUACGAGAGGACCGGAGUGGACGGAUCAACGGUGUCCCAGUUGUCACGCCAGUGGCACGGCUGGAAAGCCGCAUCCGGGAAGGAUAAACGCUGAAAGCAUCUAAGCGUGAAGCCAACCUCAAGAU